Molecule: non-coding RNA, 390 nt
Organism: Pelobates cultripes (western spadefoot toad)
Lineage: Eukaryota; Metazoa; Chordata; Amphibia; Anura; Pelobatidae
Source: the annotation of a GenBank genome assembly
UAGAUCUGGUGGAGACUGAAGGCAGGUAGACUGCUGGAAUUGUGUCAGGAAAGGACACAUUAAACGCAACUGCAGGUGCCCUCCUAAAAAUAAAACCCCCCAGGAUUCAAAUGAUAACUCCCAUUACAACCAACCACUUCCACCACCUCCCCCUCCCCAAUAGGAAAUUGGCAACCCAGGUGUCCCUACAUGCUUUAAAUAUCCCUGACUCAGCUGGACCCUAACCCAUAAACAAUGUUACUCUGCCCGGGGACCAAAUAGUCCCUUUUCUGCUGGGCACUGGGGCAGCCAGAUCUAUGUUGCAGGAAAAAUAUGUGUUCCCGUAUGAGAAGUAUGAAUAUGUUUUAUCAUGUAUAGGGGUGGAUGGGAUCCCAAGUGACAUUCCCCUUA